Molecule: non-coding RNA, 72 nt
Organism: Podarcis lilfordi (Lilford's wall lizard)
Lineage: Eukaryota; Metazoa; Chordata; Lepidosauria; Squamata; Lacertidae
Source: the annotation of a GenBank genome assembly
UGAAGCUUAGCUCAGGGACAAAGCUUCUGCCUCGUAUGCAGAAGUUCCCAGGUUCAAUCCCCGGUGCCUCCA